Otolemur garnettii (small-eared galago) is the source of this 318-nucleotide unclassified non-coding RNA. Its record names the gene 7SK. It matches the Rfam family "7SK RNA". From Rfam's summary of the family: 7SK was discovered as an abundant small nuclear RNA in the mid-70s but a possible function has only recently been suggested. Two independent studies have found that 7SK RNA binds the CDK9/cyclin T complex (known as elongation factor P-TEFb). Lineage: Eukaryota; Metazoa; Chordata; Mammalia; Primates; Galagidae. The record is from Ensembl.
AGAUGUGAGUGCCAUCUGGCUGUGACGUCUGUCAUCUCAUUGGUCCCCAGGGUUGAUUCGGCUGAUCUGGCUGGCCAGGCGGAUGUCCUCGUCCUCCCUCACUGCUCUGUGGGCAUCCCUCCUGAGGCUACAUGCUGUGCUCACGUGAAGAGCAUGACCUUCCUUGAUAAAGCAGUGCCGUUCUUCACUCAUGACUAUACAAGUAGCUUGCUCCCCUGCUACAAUCUCUAAACAAGCUCUCAAAGUUAACAUAAAUGUACUGUCUGUUCCAGCUCCUUCUAGACUUUUUCAGACUCUAAAAGGAAUAUUUAACUCUUU